This is a long non-coding RNA of Ostrea edulis (European flat oyster), 421 nucleotides long. RefSeq lists it as uncharacterized. The record is from RefSeq and is a predicted model, not a curated record. The transcript is spliced from 3 exons. NCBI's taxonomy places the organism in Eukaryota, Metazoa, Mollusca, Bivalvia, Ostreida, Ostreidae.
GGAAGGUUCAUCAAAUUUAACGCAUUUGACUUGUGCAUGGAUCUGCGAUGCUGUUGGUGUUCAAAAAGAAGUCGGCAUGGACUGACAAGGUCAUAAAGGUGGUCAAGAAAUAAAUUGCCAACAGACAGCAACAUUCCUUGAUUUACAUGCAUUUCUCUUCAUGUCCUCUCCUGAAAGAUUUUCCAUGAUGCCUCAGGGUUAGGAUUGGGAUGCAAGAUGUACAGUACAUAUAUAUGAUGUCUAUGGGUACAUUGCAGUAAUGGCCUGAAAAAUCUUUUGCGAAACCGAGAAAUGUUCAUCUUUCAUUGCCAUGAUUGUGUAAAAGGACGAGCAGAUGAAUGAUUCAAACAUAUAUGGCAGGAUUGAGAAUCGAACCCAUGACCCGUAGUCUGGUACUCUACCCACUGAUCAAUCCAUGCUG